Manis pentadactyla (Chinese pangolin) is the source of this 1026-nucleotide long non-coding RNA. RefSeq lists it as uncharacterized. The record is from RefSeq and is a predicted model, not a curated record. The transcript has 2 exons. NCBI's taxonomy places the organism in Eukaryota, Metazoa, Chordata, Mammalia, Pholidota, Manidae.
GCCCGGGUCGGGAAUCCCCGAGGCUGCUGCGCCUGCGCACGGCCGCGCGGGGCCGAUUUUCGCGCUCCCAACGCCCUCCCUCUGGAUCUGGCAGGGCUGAGGGGCAGGAGGACCGCACUGUCCGGACGGCGUGACGGGGGAAGCGACUCGCGAACAGUGAGAUAAAACUGUUGCUGCUUGCUCCAAGGGCCAGGGAAGGCGGGACUGGCCUUUGCCCUCUGCCUUUCCCCACGUGACGUCUCCAGGCUUCCCCAGCCAGUGCUCUCUGGGGCCUCAAGUCAACAGAAGAAUAACCCGAGUGCAGCUGAUUGAAGAGACAAAACUCACUUGUGUGCACUUCUAAAAAUCAGUCAGAUAAUAAUCAAAAUAGUUAUCCCUGACAAAAUGUCAUGUUAAAAAAAAUUCCACCAGCUAUCAUACAAUAUAUACAAUUAUUUGUUAAUAUAUACAAGGGUUAUUUGUUAAUGUAGAAUAUAAAGAAAAUGUCCAUGGCACUUAAAAAAAAAUUACAGCAGGAGAAUGGAGUAGGGAAUAAAUAUUGGCAGAAGAAUCACCUGACUUAACAGUCAUCACACCAAAAUAAAGGGGGUCAUGACUAAAUGUGUGUGUGUGUAAUCACAUAGGAAGAGAAGGCCAUAGUAAUGCAAAGCAAUAAAUACAUAUUUACAUAUGUAUAAAUGUUUUGUGUAUAUAUAGUAUACACAAAGCAAUAAUAUAUAUUCUACAUAUGCUACUGUGAUCCUCUCUUUCCAUUUGAAAAUAAGGAUAACUUACUGCCUUUAUAGAAAUUAGGAAAACAUUUCUUGGCCCCUGAUAAAGGCAAGACAUGUUCUAAGGUGUGUUUGAGAAAGAAAGAAGCAAGCCACUUAGAUAUAAAUAGUACAAAAUACCACAUCAAAGCAAGGAAAGGCUGCACAUUAAUUCUGAGACAACAAGCAAAAGUUGAAAUCCCGCCAGUAGAAAAGGCCCCAGUGGAGGUGUGAGAGAACCAAAGGAGCAAUUAUGAAUAAAGCUGCUAGAAACAUC